AUUGAACGCUGGCGGCAGGCCUAACACAUGCAAGUCGAGCGGUAGAGAGAAGCUUGCUUCUCUUGCGAGCGGCGGACGGGUGAGUAAUGCCUAGGAAUCUGCCAGGUAGUGGGGGAUAACGUUCGGAACCGGAAGCUAAUACCGCAUCCGUCCUACGGGAGAAAGCAGGGGACCUUCGGGCCUUGCGCUAUCAGAUGAGCCUAGGUCGGAUUAGCUAGUUGGUGGGGUAAUGGCUCACCAAGGCGACGAUCCGUAACUGGUCUGAGAGGAUGAUCAGUCACACUGGAACUGAGACACGGUCCAGACUCCUACGGGAGGCAGCAGUGGGGAAUAUUGGACAAUGGGCGAAAGCCUGAUCCAGCCAUGCCGCGUGUGUGAAGAAGGUCUUCGGAUUGUAAAGCACUUUAAGUUGGGAGGAAGGGCAGUAAAUUAAUACUUUGCUGUUUUGACGUUACCGACAGAAUAAGCACCGGCUAACUCUGUG
This 484-nucleotide ribosomal RNA is filed under the name uncultured bacterium. RNAcentral describes it as "partial 16S ribosomal RNA". It matches the Rfam family "Bacterial small subunit ribosomal RNA", at positions 30 to 507 of the family's 1533-position model. The record is from RNAcentral.